UCAUUAAGUGAAUACAUAGCUUAAUGAGGGGAACUCAGGGAACUGAAACAUCUAAGUACCUGAAGGAAGAGAAAGAAAUUCGAUUCCGUAAGUAGCGGCGAGCGAACGCGGAUUAGCCCAAACCAAUAAAGUUUUCUUUAUUGGGGUUGCGGACAUAUCAUAACGAAGAGGUAUCGUAAUUGAAGAGGUUUGGAAAGACCCACCACAGAAGGUAAUAGUCCUGUAUGUUAAACGAGAAGACUUCAGAUAUGAUCCAGAGUACCACGGGACACGUGAAACCCUGUGGGAAGCAGGAGGGACCACCCUCCAAGGCUAAAUACUACCUAGUGACCGAUAGCGUAUAGUACCGUGAGGGAAAGGUGAAAAGAACC
Molecule: ribosomal RNA, 371 nt
Filed under: Clostridioides difficile
Lineage: Bacteria; Bacillati; Bacillota; Clostridia; Peptostreptococcales; Peptostreptococcaceae
Description: bacterial LSU rRNA
Rfam family: Bacterial large subunit ribosomal RNA
Source: RNAcentral